This 483-nucleotide ribosomal RNA is filed under the name uncultured Mesorhizobium sp. Its description in RNAcentral is "bacterial SSU rRNA". It matches the Rfam family "Bacterial small subunit ribosomal RNA", at positions 1 to 534 of the family's 1533-position model. Lineage: Bacteria; Pseudomonadati; Pseudomonadota; Alphaproteobacteria; Hyphomicrobiales; Phyllobacteriaceae. The record is from RNAcentral.
GCCCUUAGAGUUUGAUCCUGGCUCAGGACGAACGCUGGCGGCAGGCUUAACACAUGCAAGUCGAACGCUCUCUUCGGAGAGAGUGGCAGACGGGUGAGUAACGCGUGGGAAUCUACCCAGUACUACGGAACAACACAGAGAAAUUUGUGCUAAUACCGUAUACGCCCUCCGGGGGAAAGAUUUAUCGGUAUUGGAUGAGCCCGCGUUUGAUUAGCUAGUUGGUGAGGUAACGGCUCACCAAGGCGACGAUCAAUAGCUGGUCUGAGAGGACGAUCAGCCACACUGGGACUGAGACACGGCCCAGACUCCUACGGGAGGCAGCAGUGGGGAAUAUUGGACAAUGGGGGAAACCCUGAUCCAGCCAUGCCGCGUGUGUGAUGAAGGCCCUAGGGUUGUAAAGCACUUUCAACGGUGAAGAUAAUGACGGUAACCGUAGAAGAAGCUCCGGCUAACUUCGUGCCAGCAGCCGCGGUAAUAAGGGCG